Molecule: long non-coding RNA, 2099 nt
Filed under: Physcomitrium patens
Lineage: Eukaryota; Viridiplantae; Streptophyta; Bryopsida; Funariales; Funariaceae
Description: long non-coding RNA (PPAT_LNC014804)
Source: RNAcentral
UGCAGCUUUGGCUGGCUUUGGCAUACGAUGCAAUGGGUCGACAUGCGGAUUGUAUUGCUGUGUACAAGCGUUUGGAGAGCUCUCAUCCUAACAAGAACCUUCGAAAGCAGGCUGCUGAUUUACGAUUCAUUGCCGAGGCGCCCAAGCUGAAAAUUUCACAGGAUGAAAUGGUCAAAAUCCCUUUGAUGGAAAAGGACUUCGAUAGGUACACUUUCUGAGCAGAAUUGCCUAAUGUUUGUAAAUUGCACCGGGUUCUUAAGUUUUUGUCUAAUGAUAUCUUGAGUCGGUAAUACGCCCAUAUUUUCUGGGAGCUUCUCAUAUGAGCUUAGUGAUAGCAAAAUUGUGUAUUCCCUGUGAUUGAUUAGAGACGAAGGAAAUGGAACCUUUGUAUAAUGAAUAUAACAGCAGGAUUAACUCAGCUGAUCAGUCCAUACCUGCUAUGCAUACAGGAAAGCUAAGAGAUGGAGCCAGCUUGUGAAAGAGAAAAGGAGAAAGCCUAUGAAAAAAUCAGCUCAAUCUAAGGACUAUCUAGAAGAUUGGUUGGUAUGGAAGCCUCCUCGUUGGGAAAAAAGUCCGUACUUUUGGGUAGCUAUAACAGUUUGGCUUACUUUGGUUGGGUUUUCACUCAUUUUUCAAAACUGAUCCAUUUCUUCAUUUUAGAUGGCAUGUGGAUUCUUGUAGUAUGAUAAUUACUCGACUAAUGAAGCCCUCAUCAAGGAGGUUGUACAAAAUGGAAGUCUCAAGUUUGGUAGAGCCAACCUGCAAUAGAUUUGAAGGAUGUUGUGAACAUUGUAGACUGAAGUCCAUGCAUGUAAGUAUUGCAUUUUACAUCGUGGCUAAGCAAAAUCUGUAACAAUUUUUUCCCACACAUGGACUGGGGCUUAACAAAGGCAUGUUUCAAUGUGAUCAGUGAAGUAAGUUGGUUUGUGAUACCAACAUUAUUGUUUAGCAAGCUUUAAGUAAAAUUGGAUACAUGUACACACAUUAUAAUUUUUGUUGCAAGAUUUAGUUAAUAAUAUAAAACAGUUAUAUAUUUCUUUCUGAAUUGAAAGUGUCAAAACUGAAUUUACUCAAAUUGCGUGUGAUUAUAUAUAUAUAUAUAUAUAUAUAUAUACAUAAAUAAAUUAUAAAGAAUUGAAGAUUAAAAGAUAUUUUUAGUAAUUAAUUUUGAAUUAUAAAAUAAUAAAAAAAUAUGAAAACAUAACACGAAUAGGUUUACUUUAUUAUUUUAUUAUUUUAUUACUUAUUACUUAUUACUUUAGGGACCUAAUAGAAAUAAUUUGUAUUACAUUUAAAACUUAUUUUUAUUUUAACUUUCUUAGUUUUUUUUUGGUAUGAAAGACUUUAAUCUUUUUAAACUUUAGAAGUUAUAAGACAAAAGAACAUGAUUUUUAGAAUGAGAGUCACAAAAAGGCUUAAACCAAUAUUGCUAUUUUUAAAACUUUAAAGAAAUUAGGUGCAUUUGUAAUUAAAAAAAUUCACUCAAUUAAUUUUGGUUUAAAUUUUUAAAAUAAUAUCUCAUUAAAGAUAAUUAUAUUUUCAAUCUUAAUCUUUUGUCAAAUUAUUGGUAGAAAUAUUUCUAGUGCAAUCCACUUAUGUUAUUAGCAACAAUAAAAAAAUGUAAUUGAUUUUUAAUUUAAAAUUUUCAGAUAUUUUUUUUAUAGUUUAUUAUUUUUUUCUAUAUAUUUUUUCUUAUUUAUCAUUUAAAAAAUAAGAUUUAAAAAAUAUUAAAAAAAUUAUCAAAUUUUACUAUAUUUUAUAACAACUUGCAAUUUCCAACCAAGUUGAAAACAAUUAAGAAUAAAUAUCCCUCCUUCAUGGCUCCACUUUCCAUGUAAAAUCUGCACGAACAUAUACUCCAUUAAAUUUUAAAAACAAUACAAAGCUGUAUUAUCGAAGCUUCGACUCCCUAUGACACACGAAAUUUAGGUUUGCAAGUAGAAUUUUGCGAUCAUUUUUAGAACAAGAAUUGAUCGUGUUUCGGUUAUUGACAACGUUUGUCAUGCGAGAGAGACAAUGGAGAUGGAUUCCUUGCACAAAAAUAUUAGCAUUGUCGUGAUGGGGUGACGAGGUCGUUCAGUGGGUUGAUAGCAAUGUUC